UAUUGAAUUAUUUUUUAUUAUAACCACUGUAGAUUUUGCUGUAGUUGUCCCAGGAUCCUUACUGAUAUACUGGGUUGCGUUUUGAUAACACUCUCGUAUAGGUGCUCAGGCUCACUUACUGCAGCGGCCCGGAACAAGGAACUGGGACAGCAGAAACAUAAGGAAGAUAAGAAAGACAGUAGCGGUUUUGCUAAUAGACUCUAAGGUGCACUCGGUUAAGUUCGGAAUUUUUAUUGAAACUACUUUAAAUUAUGAUAAUUUUAUCAUUUUCCUACCUACUCCUUGUAUCUAAGCUUAACAAUACCUACCUAAGUUAUAAUAUCUUUACAGGAAUUAAUAACCCUGCAAAAAUCGGAUUUUCAAAUUUCAUAACGUCCACAGAACUAAAUAGAAGUCUAAAUCUUUGGUGAAUUAAGGAAGGGCGUAGGCAAUUCUGGAUUUGUUUGAAGCAGAGGAUGCUGAACGGUAUAUAGCGGUUGGAGCAAUCCAGGUCUUGACAUUGUGGGGAAGUAAGAGUUCAGGAAUCCGCUCCUUGAAGGAUCUGGAAAUAAUGUAUUGUCAUCUGAUAUUGUAGCAUUGAAUAUCGAAGAUAAAAGUGAAGGUCCCAAAUUCAUCAAUGGAUAACGGAAAUUAUUGUGAAGGAUUAAAAUCUGAUGAGAUUAUGAGAGGCAAUUUAUGCCCGUAAUUGAUUUAAUACAUGGAAAUGUAAUAAUGAGUGCAUAAAAUAUUAUAUUAGUUUUAUAUCUAGU
This is a long non-coding RNA of Manduca sexta (tobacco hornworm), 749 nucleotides long. RefSeq lists it as uncharacterized. The transcript is spliced from 2 exons. Lineage: Eukaryota; Metazoa; Arthropoda; Insecta; Lepidoptera; Sphingidae. The record is from RefSeq and is a predicted model, not a curated record.